GAUGAACGCUGGCGGCGUGCCUAAUACAUGCAAGUCGAGCGAACAGACGCGGAUCUUUCUCCUCUGACGUUAGCGGCGGACGGGUGAGUCACACGUAGAUUACCCUCCUAUAAGACUUGGAUAACUUCGGGUAACCCGAGCUACUACCGGAUACUAUCUUGAACCGCAUGGUUCAAUAGUGAAAGACGGUUUUGCUGUGACUUAUAGAUCGAUCCGCGCCGCAUUAGAUAGUUGGUAAGGUAACGCCUUACCAAGGCACCGAUGCGUAGACGACCGGAGCGGGUGGUCGGCGACACUGGAACGGAGACACGGACCAGAGUCCUACGGGAGGCAGCAGUAGGGAAUGGGCGGCAAUGGGCGAAAGCCUGACGGAGCAGCGGCGAGUGAGUGAUGAAGGUCUUCGGAUCGGAAAACCCUGUUAUGAGGGAAGAACAAAUGUGUGAGUAACAAUGCAGGACGUGACGGUACCUAAACAGAAAGCCACGGCUAACUACGUG
RNAcentral lists this ribosomal RNA (497 nucleotides) under uncultured bacterium. RNAcentral's name for it is "partial 16S ribosomal RNA". It matches the Rfam family "Bacterial small subunit ribosomal RNA", at positions 28 to 507 of the family's 1533-position model. The record is from RNAcentral.